AGCCUAGCAGCUCGCUACAAGCUCUCAUGGGAGUGCGUGUUAAGAUGAUCUUAGUUGCUUCCUUUACACUCCCAUGAGAGCUUUGUAGGGCGUCCAGCAGAUGUGGCUCCGUCAGAAGGGGAAGCUGAGAAGCUGAGAAGCGGUUGAUUGACGAUCAGACGGAUGCUCAACAGCUAAAAGUUUGGAUCCCCCGAAGGGACCAGCUGUGAGUGCAAGACCCAAUUCUACCAACCCAAGAUAACUUACUGACUAAUAGUAGAGAUUUAUGGCCAAAUUAUUUUAUUUAUUGUAAUUUUUAUUUUCAACAAAGAUUUUUUUUUUAAAAGUGUUCCAGGACCGAGUUCUUUUAAAUCCCCUGUAUUUAUUUUAUUUGAACAGCAAACAUGAGGGAAUCCGUCAGGUAGAAGCAAAGCAUUGUGGGAAACUGUAACAGGAACCAAAAAGACCUCGGGGGGGGGUGGCGGACAUGUGAGACUGUAAGUGUACACAGCGGCGUGUUUCUUCCACCUCUUGGCCCCCACGUACACGCGCUCACACGGCGGGGGCCGCGAGGCGUCGCCACCAUCUUCUCCGGACAAUUCAGUCACAACGAACGACUCCGUGGAAACACGGCACAGCACUGUGGAAUUCUGAUGCACUACAUUCCGACUUCCCCCGAUCCUCUUAACGUGUUGGAACGCAGGCCGCGGCGGCCUCAUCACGCACAGUGUGAUUGUGCGUCCCACGUGUGCGCUACGGAUGACGGGGACAAAAGAGAGCGUGAGCUGAUCGAUGGCAGAGGCAAGAGAUGUGGGGAGGAUAUUUUUAAGGAAGUGUAAUGGAAAGACAAAACGGGGGAGUAGCAGAAGGGAAAGUGGAGGAGGGAUAACCUGUAUGUGGGAAACCAAAGGAGAGGAUGGAGUCGCACCUUUGAGGAAAGAGGAAGUUUGGAGAAAGGAAAACGAGAAAAGACUGAAGGAGAGAACAGUGGCACGUUCAGCGUCGUGUUCCUCAGCUCCUAAAACACUUCACAACCUAUUUUAAACAAAUACGUUGCUUAUUAUAUAAUUGCAGCCCUCAUAAGUGUGCGCCAGUCGCUAUGUAGUCAAAACUUCAAUAACGCCCCUCAAAGCUUUCUGUGUUUUAACUCUUGAGUCGUAGAAAGAGCAGGAAUGUUCUCUGCGUGCGGCUGGUUCCUCUGGUACCUUCACGGGACACCUGUACUCGGACCAGAGAUGUGAAGCGUGCCGACAAGCUGCCUUCUAAAAAUCCACAUGAUGAUCCACCAUCUCGGGUCUUUUUCUUGUUGUUUUCGGACGAAUCAGAAAAUCUUCCUCCAAAAAAAAAAAAAAAACCCAAAUCCGAAUGUCUCAGUUUGCCCUCCGGUUCUCUCAUGAAAUCAAUGCUUUUAUUUCUUUGAAAAUAUAUUUUAGCCUGACUCUGUUCUAGAUGUGGGUUAAUUGUGUUCCGCGUUAAAGCAAACUGAAUGACCUCAUGAACUUGAUUGUAAAACCAUAGUUUAGUGAUGGGAACAAAGCAAACCAGUG
Molecule: long non-coding RNA, 1526 nt
Organism: Gasterosteus aculeatus aculeatus (three-spined stickleback)
Lineage: Eukaryota; Metazoa; Chordata; Actinopteri; Perciformes; Gasterosteidae
Source: Ensembl